RNAcentral lists this ribosomal RNA (1893 nucleotides) under Mesorhizobium sp. Its description in RNAcentral is "partial 23S ribosomal RNA". It matches the Rfam family "Bacterial large subunit ribosomal RNA", at positions 54 to 1995 of the family's 2925-position model. The record is from RNAcentral. Lineage: Bacteria; Pseudomonadati; Pseudomonadota; Alphaproteobacteria; Hyphomicrobiales; Phyllobacteriaceae.
GGACGCGGUAGCCUGCGAAAAGCUACGGGGAGCUGGCAAACGAGCUUUGAUCCGUAGAUGUCCGAAUGGGGAAACCCACCUCUUUUGAGGUAUCCGUGGCUGAAUACAUAGGCCAUGCGAAGCGAACGCGGUGAACUGAAACAUCUAAGUAACCGCAGGAAAAGAAAUCAACCGAGAUUCCCAAAGUAGUGGCGAGCGAAAUGGGAUGAGCCUUGCGCUCUUUAUUUGUAUUGUUAGCCGAACGCUCUGGAAAGUGCGGCCAUAGCAGGUGAUAGCCCUGUAGGCGAAAACAGUAUGAAAGAACUAAGUGUGCGACAAGUAGGGCGGGACACGUGAAAUCCUGUCUGAAGAUGGGGGGACCAUCCUCCAAGGCUAAAUACUCGUGAUCGACCGAUAGUGAACCAGUACCGUGAGGGAAAGGCGAAAAGAACCCCGGGAGGGGAGUGAAAUAGAUCCUGAAACCGCAUGCAUACAAACAGUCGGAGCCUCGUAAGGGGUGACGGCGUACCUUUUGUAUAAUGGGUCAGCGACUUACGUUCAGUAGCAAGCUUAACCGUAUAGGGCAGGCGUAGCGAAAGCGAGUCCGAAUAGGGCGUUCAGUUGCUGGGCGUAGACCCGAAACCAGGUGAUCUAUCCAUGGCCAGGAUGAAGGUGCGGUAACACGUACUGGAGGUCCGAACCCACUAACGUUGAAAAGUUAGGGGAUGAGCUGUGGAUAGGGGUGAAAGGCUAAACAAACCUGGAAAUAGCUGGUUCUCUCCGAAAACUAUUUAGGUAGUGCCUCGUGUCUCACCUUCGGGGGUAGAGCACUGUCAUGGUUGGGGGGUCUAUUGCAGAUUACCCCGCCAUAGCAAACUCCGAAUACCGAAGAGUGCAAUCACGGGAGACAGACAUCGGGUGCUAACGUCCGGUGUCAAGAGGGAAACAACCCAGACCGCCAGCUAAGGUCCCCAAAUAUAGCUAAGUGGGAAACGAAGUGGGAAGGCUAAAACAGUCAGGAGGUUGGCUUAGAAGCAGCCACCCUUUAAAGAAAGCGUAAUAGCUCACUGAUCGAGUCGUCCUGCGCGGAAGAUGUAACGGGGCUAAGCUAUAUACCGAAGCUGCGGAUGCGAGCUUGCUCGCAUGGUAGGAGAGCGUUCCGUAAGCCUGCGAAGGUGCCUUGUAAAGGGUGCUGGAGGUAUCGGAAGUGCGAAUGCUGACAUGAGUAGCGAUAAAGGGGGUGAAAGGCCCCCUCGCCGUAAGCCCAAGGUUUCCUACGCAACGUUCAUCGGCGUAGGGUGAGUCGGCCCCUAAGGCGAGGCAGAAAUGCGUAGCUGAUGGGAAGCAGGUCAAUAUUCCUGCACCAUUGUUAGAUGCGAUGGGGGGACGGAUCGCGGAAGGUUGUCCGGGUGUUGGAAGUCCCGGUCGCUGCAUUGGAGAAGGCGCUUAGGCAAAUCCGGGCGCGUAAUUCAAGGGUGUGGCGCGAGCUCCUUAGGGAGCGAAGCAAUUGGAAGUGGUUCCAAGAAAAGCCUCUAAGCUUCAGUCUAACGAUGACCGUACCGCAAACCGACACAGGUGGGCGAGAUGAGUAUUCUAAGGCGCUUGAGAGAACUCGGGAGAAGGAACUCGGCAAAUUGGUACCGUAACUUCGGGAUAAGGUACGCCCUUGUAGCUUGACUGGCCUGCGCCAGGAGGGUGAAGGGGUUGCAAUAAACUGGUGGCUGCGACUGUUUAAUAAAAACACAGCACUCUGCAAACACGAAAGUGGACGUAUAGGGUGUGACGCCUGCCCGGUGCCGGAAGAUUAAAUGAUGGGGUGCAAGCUCUUGAUUGAAGUCCCGGUAAACGGCGGCCGUAACUAUAACGGUCCUAAGGUAGCGAAAUUCCUUGUCGGGUAAGUUCCGACCUGCACGA